Molecule: unclassified non-coding RNA, 307 nt
Filed under: plant metagenome
Description: partial contains 5.8S ribosomal RNA, internal transcribed spacer 2, and large subunit ribosomal RNA
Rfam family: 5.8S ribosomal RNA (bases 1-105)
Source: RNAcentral
GAAAUGCGAUAAGUAAUGUGAAUUGCAGAAUUCAGUGAAUCAUCGAAUCUUUGAACGCACAUUGUGCCCGCCAGCACUCUGGCGGGCAUGCCUGUUCGAGCGUCAUUUCAACCCUCAGAACCCCUUGCGGGAUCUGGCGUUGGGGAUUGGCAUCCAGCCAGCCCCGAAAUCUAGUGGCGGUCCCUCCGCGACCUCCCCUGUGCAGUAGCGAUACCUCGCAGCGGGACAGCGGUCUGACCACGCCGUAAAACCCCCAACUUCUCAAGGUUGACCUCGAAUCAGGUAGGAGUACCCGCUGAACUUAAGC